UUAUUAGAAUUGAAUUGAGAGAGGCAGGGGCACAAGAAUGGCCGAGACAAGAUGCUGAGUAGUUGAAAUUAAUGACUCGUGGAGCUGAUCUCCUGCCAAGGGCUACACCAGCUCCCGGGAGGAAUCCACCACUCUGGCCAGUGGCCCAGCACUGCGGAAGCUGCAGUUCAGAUGGGCAGCACUGAAAAAUCACAAAUCUGAGAAACCCAGGACGAUCCCAUGGGCAUGGAGAUUGCUGCAUGGGCCAGAACCCAAGGCCCAAGGGCACAGAGUUCGCCUUCUCUAGACCUUGCGAAACGCUGGCCGUCCUUCCUGGUGGCAAGUUCAGAGGAUCGCGGCACACCCCCCACAGAGCAGGUGGAUCUGGCCUUCACACAUGAUGAGCUUUCUCCACGUCCUCAGCCAGGAAUGCACAGGACCCCAUGUUUCGAUGGUUUAACCUCUGAAAUGUAUGAGGAAGCCCGCCCAGGCAGACGCGGUGAGGCGGCUGUGUUCUGUCCCCAGGUGACCAACUGCCUCUGUAAGGUGAAGUGGCAACAAAUGGUAAAGAAAAUGAUCCACGUGCUCCCCAUUCCUCACAGGAAGAAGGAGUGAGAAUCAAAUGAAAUCAUGUGUGCAAAAGUGCUCUGUAAACUCUGAAGCCCAGUAAUGGACCCUGUUGUUUUCUCCACCUGGCAACUUCUUUCCAUUACCCAUCUGUGUGAUUCUGGCUACCGAUCGCAGUCCUUUCUCCUCGGCCCAAAUAGUGAGAAAGCGG
This 757-nucleotide long non-coding RNA is filed under the name Felis catus (domestic cat). RNAcentral's name for it is "lncRNA (ENSFCAG00000042242.2)". The record is from RNAcentral. Lineage: Eukaryota; Metazoa; Chordata; Mammalia; Carnivora; Felidae.